AAAUAAUGAAGGCCGACUAAAACCGCCCUUUGCGGGCAACGUCGGCAUACCCCUUGCCGGGGC
Molecule: small RNA, 63 nt
Organism: Virgibacillus sp.
Lineage: Bacteria; Bacillati; Bacillota; Bacilli; Caryophanales; Bacillaceae
Rfam family: Bacillaceae-1 RNA
Source: Rfam